GUUAGCGGAUGAAUCUGUUUCAAAUGGUUGCUCAUCAGUUAGUGAGUGCGAAGCAGAAGUAUUAUCGUUGUUCAAAGCAUUUCCACAAGAAGAAACGGAUGGAGCAGGUGAAUGGCAUAAUGAAUUUAGUGAUUCCCUAGAUUUUUGAGGAGAAUAGCAAUCUGAACUCAUUGAGGAGGUUUUAAAUAACUCAUUGGGACGUUUGGAUGUCAUCAAUCGAUUUGGAUUUACUCGGGGAAAAUUAAUAAGUCGCUCAUCCUCUAGUGAAGGAGAAGAUACAUUAUUGAAAGAAAAUGAAUUUCGAUGCUGCCUAUUUAAACUGGUGGGAGAUUCAAGUAUCGGAGAAUGAACAGAGCCAACAGAAGAGUUUUGAGAAUUAGUAAACGAUCCUACAAUUUUUGAUGAUUUUUGCAGCUGGUGGUCCAUGGCCUUAUUCAAACGUUAGUAAUUUAAAUUAAUUAAGUAACAAGAGAUAUCACAUUUUAUUUCAUAUUUAAAAAAGGAGAAUCCAAGUAUUGAAAUCACUUACCUCUUUCAACUUUUCCAAGUGAGAAUUAGAACCAACGUUAUUGUUGAUUUGAUCGUCAGGUGGCCUCAUU
This is a non-coding RNA of Schizosaccharomyces pombe (fission yeast), 599 nucleotides long. Lineage: Eukaryota; Fungi; Ascomycota; Schizosaccharomycetes; Schizosaccharomycetales; Schizosaccharomycetaceae. The record is from the annotation of a GenBank genome assembly.